AUUUUCCUCACUUCAUAUCGCUCAUCCUGCAAAGGAGCUGCUGCAGUGUGAAGAUAAAUAUUAAUAUUCAUGAGCAAAGCUUUCUGUUCUGUUCUUUCCUCUGUUUCUAUGUUACCACAUCAGAGGGCAUCGCGGGUUUUUUUUAUUUUUUAAAACCACUUCUCUCUAACAUCUUGCACGCCAAGCUUGUAAUUAGGUCCAGUGAGAUGCACAUUGCGUCGUUCUGACUUUUAGAACCACGUGCACUCUGUGUGUGUGCACAUCGUGGAGGUAGAGAUGUUGUCGUAGGCCAGAACACGCAGCGAACCCCAAAUAAAAACAUAAAAAAUGAACACAGCGCAAAGACACAGAAUUGUGGAUACUGUCGGAGAGAACUGACAAUAGAUGAAAGGCGAGCAGCGGGGAGAGAGAGAGCACCGACGCAACUCGCGUCCUGUCUGUUUCUUUAAAUAGGUGAAAGGAUUUCUGCGGGUAGAGUGACAGUCCCUGUAAACGGCUCCGUCCUCCGCGUCACCUCGCCGCAUAAUGACUUCAAAUGAAGGCGACUGUAAAGUGUCAGAAUGUUAUUAAAAGAGGUUCAAAUGUACACAAGAAUAAUGUGGUUCAUUUAGUCGACUUUAUCAGUUUCUCUGCAUUGCAGCUGCUUGUUUUUAUGACACACCUGGCAACCACUGACCUGUGAACUGACUGUGAUACUCGAGGUACAGUGUUCAAAAUACUUUCCAUGAAUAUAACAAUACAGUCGUCUUUUUUUGUUUUAACACGUUUAGGAGAUCCUGCGACAUACUCUGGUGAAUCUACACAAUACACAAAAAUCCCAAAUUAAAGAGAUGAUAAUGGAGAAAAAAAUGUGAGACUUACACUCCGGAAAAUAGCAGUAGUGAAUAAACACAUAAAUGACUCCACCCCCUCCAGAUUGUUGACACAAUUACUCAAAAACAACAAAUGCCCUCGUCUUAGACGUCUCUACAAUUAAAGGGGAUAUCAGGAGUAUAAAGUGAUUUAAAUUUGAGGCACCAGACAAAAACAAAAAGCAAGUUUGUUUUGCAUGUAUAACACAGGAAUUAAAGUUCUCUGUCGCUACGAUUGGGCUAUCAAAAGGCAGGUUCACGCUGAGCCGCUCUGAUGCAAAAUCAAGGCUGGACACACAAUAUAAAAUUUGCCAUGCACGCUACGUUCAAAAAUCGAUUUUGAGAAUAACGUUUUUUUUUUUUGUUUGUUUGGCUUUUUUUGCUUGCAGCGAGUCCCUAAGUCUAUUCCUCUGUGUCCUGUGUGCACGCUGCGGAAGGGAGGUGGUGUGUUUGAGUGUGUCACAGCGAGCAGAGUGCAGUGUUUUACAAACAUAUUUUUAAACUUUUUGUUUCUUUUAAAGUCUGCUCUGUGUCCUCGCUGUGGUUAAACUAAAAACACAGCUGCAGACCCCCAAUGCAUAACAAGAAACAUCAAUGCUUUGUUUCCCCCCAAAAUAUGGGUAAAAUCUCUUUCUGAUGACAGCUGAUAUAAACUGCACUCAAAACCUUCGUACCUCUCGAUCAGGUCGCACUUUUCAGAUGGAAAGAUGGUGUUGGGGGGGUAUGUACCCUCCGCAACACCCCUUUCUUAAAGGUCCACUUUUGAAAGCAUUUUUUUCAAACUACUACUACUUAUGAUAAUUUUAACAACUAAAAUGUUUAAAUCAGUAUUACGCAAUUUUUUACAAUAUUUCUGCACUAAGUUUAAUUGUUGAGCCAUAUAAAAUAAGUUUACUUAAUUUAACUUUUCUGCAUAAAUAAAGCAACAUCUUUUUUUAACGUAGUGUCUAAGCUCAGCAUUACUGGGUCUGUUUAGGGUUCUAUCUUUAAAAUCAGGUCAGUUAGGAUGAGGGAAGCCAAAAAUAUAAAAAUGAUUACGGCUCUUAUGGUUAGUAAUCUUAUAAAACAUAAGUAGGCUGUGAUACUAAUUUUGAUGAAAGGCAAAGAAAAGGUGAAAA
This is a long non-coding RNA of Thalassophryne amazonica, 1969 nucleotides long. RefSeq lists it as uncharacterized. The transcript has 2 exons. The record is from RefSeq and is a predicted model, not a curated record. NCBI's taxonomy places the organism in Eukaryota, Metazoa, Chordata, Actinopteri, Batrachoidiformes, Batrachoididae.